CCUCUCAGCUUACAGCCUGUUACCAAAACAAAACAGGAAAACAUGGUGCAAAACUAAAACCUAUAUAAAACCCCUUUUAAGACUGUUUCAGUUAGUGCUAAAAUCCUGGCGCGGGUGUGAACAACGGUUAUAGAGCAAUGGCGAGAAAAUUGUUUGUGCAGCAGUCUUCUACAGUUUCUUUGUCUGCGUUUACUCUACGCCGCCCUUUAACCAAAGGCCUCAAUCCUCGCAAUGAUUAUAUUACUGCAAGAAUUAACCGCUUCCCAAAUCAGAGUAAUUCCAAAGUUGUUUCUGGCUCUGCUUCUGCUUCUAUUUCUGCUCUGUGCAGUGUCCGUGGAAACGGAAACCCAAGCACACCAAUAGGUUCCUUUAAUGAGUUGAUUGAAUCUUUGAUAAAUCGAGUGGAUUUAACGGAGUCUGAGGCAGAGGCGUGUCUGGAAUUUUUGUUAACUGAAGCUAAUGAGGCUCUGAUUAGUGCUUUUCUUGUUUUGUUGAGAGCCAAAGGCGAGACCUUUGAAGAAGUUGUGGGCUUGGCGAGAGCAAUGAUAAAGCAUGCUUGGAAGUUAGAAGGGUUAAAUGAUGUGGUUGACAUUGUUGGAACGGGUGGUGAUGGGGCAAAUACGGUGAAUAUUUCCACAGGUGCUUCAAUAUUGGCUGCAGCUUGUGGUGCAAAAGUUGCCAAGCAAGGGAACCGAUCCAGUUCAUCUGCAUGUGGAAGUGCUGAUGUAUUGGAAGCUUUGGGGGUAGUUAUUGAUUUGGACCCAGAGGGAGUAAUGAGCUGUGUGAAUGAAGCUGGAAUUGGUUUCAUGAUGGCACCAAAGUACCACCCGGCAAUGAAGAUUGUGAGCCCUGUUAGAAAGAAGCUAAAGAUUAAAACUGUGUUCAAUAUAUUGGGCCCUAUGUUGAACCCUGCAAGAGUACCUUUCGCUGUUGUUGGUGUUUACACUGAAGAUCUAGUUUUCAAAAUGGCUAAAGCACUUCAACGGUUUGGCAUGAAACGAGCCUUAGUUGUGCACUCAGAGGGUUUAGAUGAAAUGAGUCCCCUUGGGCCUGGGCGAAUCCUUGAUGUUACUCCAGAGAAAAUUGAGAAGUUCUCAUUUGAUCCGUUGGAAUUCGGUGUUCCACGUUGUACGCUAGAUGACCUGCGAGGUGGUGGACCGGGGUACAAUGCCGAUGUAUUGAAGCACAUACUCUCAGGGGAAAAAGGGCCCAUUGCAGAUGCACUUAUUCUUAAUGCAGCAGCAGCUCUUCUAGUCAGUGGCCGUGUGAAGUCCCUUGCUGAAGGAGUAGCUUUGGCUCGUGAGACACAAUUAUCGGGAAAAGCUCUAAACACACUUAAUUCAUGGAUAGACAUCUCCAACAAAGUGAAAGAAAAGACAAUAGUACAAUAAAGCUCUGGGCUCUGAAAACUGGAUAUCUAUUUUGAAAUUUUGGGAUUUCUUUCUACUACAAUAAAACAUAUUUAAUAUGUUGUUAUGUAGUCAACCCCGGAAUAAGGGAUGUUGUUGUUGCCCAAUCCAGUUGCUAUUAUUUCGAGACAAGCAUGAAAUAUUUGGUACUCCACAAGAACAAAGAGCUUUGAAGUAAAUGAAUCCAGGUAAAUAGUAAAUUAAAUAAUUAUAGUUAUUUAUAUUAUUUAAUUGUAUAACACAUUCAAAUUUAAUUGAAAUAAUUUUAUAUAGCUAAGUGGUGAAUAAUAUAUGACACUUGUAUUCCUGAAUUACAAAAACUAGCAAUCAAAGUGCUUAGUUAAAUA
Durio zibethinus is the source of this 1756-nucleotide non-coding RNA. The record is from RefSeq and is a predicted model, not a curated record. Lineage: Eukaryota; Viridiplantae; Streptophyta; Magnoliopsida; Malvales; Malvaceae.